RNAcentral lists this transfer RNA (76 nucleotides) under Fimbriimonadales bacterium. Its description in RNAcentral is "tRNA-Thr". It matches the Rfam family "tRNA". Rfam says of the family: Transfer RNA (tRNA) molecules are approximately 80 nucleotides in length. Their secondary structure includes four short double-helical elements and three loops (D, anti-codon, and T loops). The record is from RNAcentral. Lineage: Bacteria; Bacillati; Armatimonadota; Fimbriimonadia; Fimbriimonadales.
GCAGAUGGGGUCAACAGGAAACGACACGACACUCGUAAUGCGCAGGUCGUGGGUUCGAGUCCCACUGUCGGCUCCA